AUUGAACGCUGGCGGCAUGCCUUACACAUGCAAGUCGAACGGCAGCACGGAGCUUGCUCUGGUGGCGAGUGGCGAACGGGUGAGUAAUAUAUCGGAACGUACCCAAGAGUGGGGGAUAACGUAGCGAAAGUUACGCUAAUACCGCAUACGAACUAAGGAUGAAAGUGGGGGAUCGCAAGACCUCAUGCUCCCGGAGCGGCCGAUAUCUGAUUAGCUAGUUGGUGAGGUAAAGGCUCACCAAGGCAUCGAUCAGUAGCUGGUCUGAGAGGACGACCAGCCACACUGGAACUGAGACACGGUCCAGACUCCUACGGGAGGCAGCAGUGGGGAAUUUUGGACAAUGGGGGCAACCCUGAUCCAGCAAUGCCGCGUGAGUGAAGAAGGCCUUCGGGUUGUAAAGCUCUUUUGUCAGGGAAGAAACGGUGAAGGCUAAUAUCCUUUGCUAAUGACGGUACCUGAAGAAUAAGCACCGGCUAACUACGUGCCAGCCGCCGCAGUAA
This 500-nucleotide ribosomal RNA is filed under the name uncultured bacterium. Its description in RNAcentral is "partial 16S ribosomal RNA". It matches the Rfam family "Bacterial small subunit ribosomal RNA", at positions 30 to 523 of the family's 1533-position model. The record is from RNAcentral.